CGGGAUGUAGCGCAGUUUGGUAGCGCGCCACAAUGGGGUUGUGGAGGCCGCUGGUUCGAAUCCAGUCAUCCCGACCA
Molecule: transfer RNA, 77 nt
Filed under: Verrucomicrobiales bacterium
Lineage: Bacteria; Pseudomonadati; Verrucomicrobiota; Verrucomicrobiia; Verrucomicrobiales
Also listed under: 1 other name
Description: tRNA-Pro
Rfam family: tRNA
About the family: Transfer RNA (tRNA) molecules are approximately 80 nucleotides in length. Their secondary structure includes four short double-helical elements and three loops (D, anti-codon, and T loops).
Source: RNAcentral